UAUACCAGAAAGUCAAAUUAUAUUUAUUGGUUAAAAGGCAGUUAGAUAUAUAAUUUAAUUUUCAAAUUCAAUCAUAUAUAGGUAAAAUUUGCUUAUGAUUUAAUAUACUAAAAAAAAUUAGUUUAUUGAAGCUGCGAAAUCUUUGAAAUAAACUGGGAUUGGAUACCCCACUAUUCUUAGAUUUAAACUUAAUUUAAAUAUUUACCAGAGUACUAUGAACUAGGUUUAAAACUCAAAGAACUUGGCGGUGCUUUAUACCCCUUAGGGGAAUCUGUCUCGUAAUCGACAAUCCACGUGAUACCUCACCUUCUUUUGUAAUUCAGUUUGUAUACCGUUGUCGUCAGGUAACUCUUUAAGAUAAAUAAGUUAGCUACAAAGUUAUUAAACUUAUACGUCAAAUCAAGGUGCAAUUUAUAAGAAGGAGAAGAUGGAUUACAAUUAAUAAUUAUAAUACGGAUUUAUUAAAGUAAAUUACUAAUGAAGGAGGACUUAAAAGUAAAGUUUUAUAUAUAGAUUACUUGAAUCAGGCUCUUAAGCGCGC
RNAcentral lists this ribosomal RNA (541 nucleotides) under unidentified. Its description in RNAcentral is "Eucithara sp. NP MNHN-IM-2007-17896 partial 12S ribosomal RNA". The record is from RNAcentral.